CCUACGGGUGGCAGCAGUGAGGAAUAUUGCUCAAUGGACGCAAGUCUGAACCAGCCAUGCCGCGUGCAGGAAGACGGCUCUAUGAGUUGUAAACUGCUUUUGUACGAGGGUAAACGCAGAUACGCGUAUCUGUCUAAAAGUAUCGGACGAAUAAUGAUCGGCUAACUCCGGGCCAGCAGCCGCGGUAAUACGGAGGCUUCAAGCGUUAUCCGGAUUUAUUGGGUUUAAAGGGUGCGUAGGCGGUCGGAUAAGUUAGAGGUGAAAUCCCGGGGCUCAACUUCGGAAUUGCCUAUGAUACUGUUCGGCUAGAGAGUAGGUGCGGUAGUCGGAAUGUAUGGUGUAGCGGUGAAAUGCUUAGAGAUCAUACAGAACACCGAUUGCGAAGGCAGCUUACCAAGCUAUUUCUGACGUUGAGGCACGAAAGCGUGGGGAGCAAACAGGAUUAGAUACCCUGGUAGUC
This 460-nucleotide ribosomal RNA is filed under the name uncultured bacterium. Its description in RNAcentral is "partial 16S ribosomal RNA". It matches the Rfam family "Bacterial small subunit ribosomal RNA", at positions 338 to 795 of the family's 1533-position model. The record is from RNAcentral.